RNAcentral lists this ribosomal RNA (253 nucleotides) under uncultured bacterium. RNAcentral describes it as "partial 16S ribosomal RNA". It matches the Rfam family "Bacterial small subunit ribosomal RNA", at positions 524 to 776 of the family's 1533-position model. The record is from RNAcentral.
UACGAAGGGGGCUAGCGUUGCUCGGAAUUACUGGGCGUAAAGCGCACGUAGGCGGUUUCUUAAGUCGGGGGUGAAAUCCUGGAGCUCAACUCCAGAACUGCCUUUGAUACUGAGGAUCUUGAGUUCGGGAGAGGUGAGUGGAACUGCGAGUGUAGAGGUGAAAUUCGUAGAUAUUCGCAAGAACACCAGUGGCGAAGGCGGCUCACUGGCCCGAUACUGACGCUGAGGCACGAAAGCGUGGGGAGCAAACAGG